This 253-nucleotide ribosomal RNA is filed under the name uncultured bacterium. Its description in RNAcentral is "partial 16S ribosomal RNA". It matches the Rfam family "Bacterial small subunit ribosomal RNA", at positions 524 to 776 of the family's 1533-position model. The record is from RNAcentral.
GACAGAGGUGCCAAGCGUUAGGCGGAAUCACUGGGCUUAAAGCGUGUGUAGGCGGAUCGUUAAGUACCUUGUGAAAUCCCACGGCUCAACCGUGGAACUGCUGGGUAUACUGGCGGUCUUGAGCCAGCUAGGGGCUACCGGAACAAAUGGUGGAGCGGUGAAAUGCGUAGAUAUCAUUUGGAACGCCAAUGGUGAAAACAGGUAGCUGGGGCUGUGCUGACGCUGAGACACGAAAGCCAGGGGAGCGAACGGG